GUUCCGUUCUCGUAUGGCAGCAGACACACAGGUGGAGCUGGAAGUGGUGUUCAAUGAGACCGCCAUUGCAACUAUCGCUCAUGCAACUAUGCCCAAGGACAUUGACAUUAAAGACACACUGAAAGAGGCUGUGACCAAUCCAAACUCUACCUUCAACCUCUCUGUGGUUCCAAACUCCAUCACUAUUAUCAGGACCCCAAUUAUAACCACAAAUUUCACAACAAAUACAGUGGCUACUCCUAUCAUCAUCAUAACCGAUAUGAACACAAUGACUGCCCCUACCACCACAACUGCUGUGACCACAAUGACCACGCCAACCACCACAAGCGCUCCAUCCACCACAACCGUUGCAGCCACCAUUACACUUACUACAGUGCCUGUGGAGUUCACUUCUAGAGAGACAUUUACCUCCGACCUAUCAAACUCAUCCUCUCAGGCCUUUCAAACUCGAGCAUCACUGAUUAAAACACAGCUUGAACCUUUCUAUCAAUCAGCUUUCACAUCAUUCAACAGUUUGACAGUGACCGAAUUCAGAAAUGGAUCAAUCAUCAACACUAUGAAUUUAGCAUUUAGAUCUUCUGUCCUCAAUUCCACGAAGAUUGGGACCAUUUUAAUAAAUUCUGCACAGAAAAUCACAGCUUUCAACAUUGUCACCACCACAAUUAAGGUCAAUGGCACAGGUGGUCCUACAUCUGCUGUUCCUACUACAACUACUGAGGCUGGCACAACCAUCACAAAACCAACUGGAAAACCUGCCACUGUUCCUGUGACUGGGCCUGCAACUACAACAACAUUUGUGGCCCCCACAACUACAGUUUCAAGCACAGAAUCAACAUUAACCAUGAAGACUACCAGGACAACCACUACCUUAACACCAACUACAACAACAACAACAACGCCAAUAACAACCAAAACAACUACACAUCCUGUCGUGUUUACAUUAAAACUCACAAUUGAAGUUUUAUAUGUACCAGCAUUGACCAACACUGAAAGCACAGAAUUUCAAACACUUGCACUAACCAUUACUUCAGAGUGUGAUGAGAUCUACCAAUCAAAAUAUGGGAUCAUUUUCAUCCAGACGAUCGUCAUUGCAUUCUUACCUGUGUCCCGACGUUCCCUUAUGCCAGCAGAAACACAGGUGGAAAUGGAAGUGGUAUUCCAACAGAUCUCCGCAGAAUCUAGGAUGAGUAAUGACAUUGAAAAUACACUGAAAGAGGCUGUGACCAAUCCAAACUCCAACUUCAAUGUCUCUGUGUAUCCGGACUCCAUCACUGUUAUUAGGGUCCCAAAUACAUCCACAGGUGCCACCACAAUUACACCGGCUACUCCUGUCAUCACAACUGUUGUCCCAGCUGCUCCAACCACUACAACGGCUGCUGCCACCACAACCUCUGUGGCCACAAAUACACUCACUACAGUGUCUGUGGAGUUCACGUCCAAAGGAGAGACAUUUAUCUCCGACCUAUCAACCUCAUCCUCUCAGGCCUUUCAAACUCGAACAUCACUGAUUAAAACACAGCUUGAACCUUUCUAUCGAUCAGCUUUCGCCUCUUUCAACAGUUUGACAGUAAUAAAAUUCAGAAAUGGAUCAAUCAUUAACACCAUGAAUUUAGCAUUUAGCUCCUCCGCUGUGCCAAAUUCCAAGGAAAUUGGCACCGUUUUGAUAAAGGCUGCACAAAACAUCACAGCUUUCAACAUCAACCCCACGUCAGUUACUGUCAGCGGUGAAGUUGUGACCUCAAGUGGUAUAAGCAGCAAGACCAGUCUCUUCACUGCUUCCUGUCUGGUGGUGUUGUCGCUGCUGCUGUCAAGCUAGUCUCAGCAGCAAGCAGCAGUAUGAAAUAUCUUAACUUUGAAAAUGUAUUUACCUCAUGUCCCC
Oncorhynchus tshawytscha (Chinook salmon) is the source of this 1879-nucleotide long non-coding RNA. The record is from Ensembl. Lineage: Eukaryota; Metazoa; Chordata; Actinopteri; Salmoniformes; Salmonidae.